This 1129-nucleotide long non-coding RNA is filed under the name Numida meleagris (helmeted guineafowl). Its description in RNAcentral is "lncRNA (ENSNMEG00000000472.1)". Lineage: Eukaryota; Metazoa; Chordata; Aves; Galliformes; Numididae. The record is from RNAcentral.
CAGCAGCUCGGCCGCAGCGCUCCCUCGGUGUCUGCUGCAGCAGCAGCACGGGGCUGUGGGGCACUGGGGGCGGCUGGGGGCUCUGAGCGGGGCUCCUGGGGUCACCCAAAUAAACCACUGCAGGUGUGGGGAGAUCUGCACCGCAACGCCCCGAGGUGCUCCAAGAACCCCCAAGGGUUUCUGCAAUGGUUCUUAACCGUGAACUUUUUGCUGCUUUGGAAACGCUUCUCACCCACUGGGCUUUCUGCUGGGGCGUUCGCCCCUUGGUGUAAGGUAGCUCAGUGAGUCAAGAAUUGCUUCGCCUGAUCACAGCAGGGCUUCUGGGCGCGUCUGACAGGUGAGAAAACGAGCAAGAAGCAGAGAGAUGCCACAGACGCUGCCGAGCAGAGCUGCUGCAAACAGCGCAGCGCUCGGAGCCGGGAGCCCCGCAGCGGCCGCGUGCGCCCCGAGCCGCGCGGUGACAGCGGGCGCUGCGUGACCGCCCCCAGCCCCGGGGCGGCCGUCGGUGUGACUCCUCUAAUUAAAAAUCCAGGAAAUGUAAAUGCGGGAGCGGUGAGUUUAAUGGUAGGUGACAGGAUUCCUCCCCACCCCCCUCCCAUUGUUACAUUUUAAUUUCAAAUUUUAAUGAAGAUUUCAGGGAGCAUUAACGUAAAAGGAAUGUGAAAGCAGCACAGGGCUGAAUAAUUUCAUAGAGCUACGGGGCACGAGCAGCCCCUCCCGCACCGCCGCGCUCUGUGAUGUUCAGCCCGUGGGGCCCCGCAGCCCCGGGGGAGGUCUCAGCAAACAUCCCCUCCCCUCGCAACACGCAGCCCCCGGGGGGGCCCCGCUGUGCCUUGCGCAGCCAGAACGGAUCCGGAGCAAUUCCCAAAGCACACGCGAUGGAGAGCGGGGAGGGCGGGCGGAGCUCCGAGCUUGGUGUUAGGGUGGUUUGUGGCUGGUGACCAAAACGCGGUGAGCGCGAGGCGCGGGGCCGUGCUGCCAGAGGCGGCUGGGGAUGCGGGGCCGCUUCCUCCGGCGCAGUUUGCUCCCAUCUCCUCCUGCUGAAUUCUGCGUCAAGUCACAAACCGCCUCGCCCCGCGCACCUGGGGGCUCCUCCGGGUGCGUGCGGAGCAAACGCGAUUCGCUGAAC